AAUAUUGGACAAUGGGCGCAAGCCUGAUCCAGCCAUGCCGCGUGCAGGAUGAAGCNACNNUGGUGNGNAAACAGCUUUUGUACNNNNNGAAAAAACAUUCCGAGUAAUGUACUUACGGUACCGUAAGAAUAAUGAUCGGCUAGCUCCGUGCCAGCAGCCGCGGUAAUACGGAGGAUCCAAGCGUUAUCCGGAAUCAUUGGGUUUAAAGGGUCCGUAGGCGGCCUUAUGAGUCAGCGGUGAAAGUUUUUGGCUUAACCAAAAAAUUGCCAUUGAUACUGUAGGGCUUGAAUAUUUGUGAAGUAACUAGAAUAUGUAGUGUAGCGGUGAAAUGCUUAGAUAUUACAUGGAAUACCAAUUGCGAAGGCAGGUUACUAACGAAUGAUUGACGCUGAUGGAUGAAAGCGUGGGUAGCAAACAGG
RNAcentral lists this ribosomal RNA (419 nucleotides) under uncultured bacterium. RNAcentral's name for it is "partial 16S ribosomal RNA". It matches the Rfam family "Bacterial small subunit ribosomal RNA", at positions 360 to 776 of the family's 1533-position model. The record is from RNAcentral.